UACGUAGGAUGCAAGCGUUGUCCGGAAUUACUGGGCGUAAAGGGUGCGCAGGUGGCGGCGCGCGUGGGGGGGUGAAAUCGCCCGGCUUAACUGGGCGGGGGCCUUCCAGACGGCGUGGCUUGAGCAGCGGAGGGGGACGUGGAAUUCCGGGUGGAGCGGUGAAAUGCGUAGAGAUCCGGAGGAACACCGACGGCGCAGGCAGCGUCCUGGCCGCUUGCUGACACUGAGGCACGAAAGCUGGGGGAGCAAACAGG
RNAcentral lists this ribosomal RNA (254 nucleotides) under uncultured bacterium. RNAcentral's name for it is "partial 16S ribosomal RNA". It matches the Rfam family "Bacterial small subunit ribosomal RNA", at positions 524 to 776 of the family's 1533-position model. The record is from RNAcentral.